AUACGGAUGGUGCGAGCGUUGUUCGGAAUUACUGGGCGUAAAGGGCGCGUAGGCGGCGAUGUAAGUCAAAUGUGAAAGUCCUCGGCUUAACCGGGGAAGUGCAUCUGAAACUGCAUUGCUUGAGUAUGGGAGAGGAAUGUGGAAUUCCCGGUGUAGAGGUGAAAUUCGUAGAGAUCGGGAGGAAUACCGGUGGCGAAGGCGACUUUCUGGACCAAUACUGACGCUGAGGCGCGAAAGCGUGGGGAGCAAACAGGAUUAGAUACCCUAGUAGUCC
Molecule: ribosomal RNA, 274 nt
Filed under: uncultured bacterium
Lineage: Bacteria
Description: partial 16S ribosomal RNA
Rfam family: Bacterial small subunit ribosomal RNA
Source: RNAcentral